RNAcentral lists this ribosomal RNA (252 nucleotides) under uncultured bacterium. Its description in RNAcentral is "partial 16S ribosomal RNA". It matches the Rfam family "Bacterial small subunit ribosomal RNA", at positions 524 to 776 of the family's 1533-position model. The record is from RNAcentral.
UACGUAGGUCCCGAGCGUUGUCCGGAUUUAUUGGGCGUAAAGCGAACGCAGGUGGUUUAUUAAGUCUGGUGUAAAAGGCAGUGGCUCAACCAUUGUAUGCAUUGGAAACUGGUAGACUUGAGUGCAGGAGAGGAGAGUGGAAUUCCAUGUGUAGCGGUGAAAUGCGUAGAUAUAUGGAGGAAUACCGGUGGCGAAAGCGGCUCUCUGGCCUGUAACUGACACUGAGGCUCGAAAGCGUGGGGAGCAAACAGG